AUUAGUAUGUCGAUUACGUGGUUUAAUGGCUUCUUCACGUUUUGAGAUCAUCAUCGCCGUCCAGAUUCGCCAUUACAAGUGAGAUGGAUAACACCGUUUUUUGGUUUGUAUUGGGGAUAACAAAGCUACCUAGGAUUUAAGCUAUUUGCUGCCGUUGAUGGAACUAAUCGGAUAUGAGCCAAUCACCACCGCAACCAUUCAGGUCACCACUCUCUCUUCUUUGUUUGUACGCAUGUAUCUGUAUGUAUCUAUCACAACUCAAUUCUCAAUUGUGUGUUUAAUUUCUUUCUUUCACUUUUGUUGCAAUUCAAGUUUCAAUUAUAGUCAGAUCUGAUAUUGAUUCAUUCAAGUACUACUAUCAUGCAUGUUUGUUUGAUUUUAUCUAUUAAACUAUCGAGAUUCUCAUCGUGUGGUUUAAUUGUAAUGUUUUGGUGAUGGUGAUUGGUGAGCAUGAAUCUAGGUGAUAUGCAAUCGUAAGAAAUUCUAUUUUAACUUUUUGAUAAAACUGAAAUGGAAUUGCAUUAUAAUGUUUUAACUUCUGUUAUCGGCGUAGAUCUAUGAUUGGAUAAGUACAAUUUCUACGAGAUAUCUGUUUCACUCGGCGUGUCAGCUGUAAAACUUGAAUUUUCUGUUUCUGAAAAUACGAGAUUGAUUUGGGAGAUAGUUCAUAAUUAUGUGGAUUUGGAUGUUGUGAAUCAUGGUGUAACGGAGGUUACGUUUUGAAUCCAUAAUUAUCAUGAUUUUUAGAUAUUUAGGCAAUAAUUUAUUCUUAAAUUAGAUUGGCUUUAAUUACGAGAUCUCUUUUAUUCUCUAUUCAUUAUUUGUCUCCAUUAGCUUUAAUUAGAACAGUUACAUUUUGAAUUGUAAUUGUGAUUGGAUAAAUAUUCUUUAUGAAUAUUUAAAUACCUUUAAGUACCAUUUAUGGGAGUCAUUAAUCAUGACUUUAUUGUGCCUUUAAUGGCUUUAUUGUGCCUUUAAUGGGGCUUUAUUGUGCCUUUAAUGGCUUUUUGUUCCAAUUUGGAUGCCAUUUUUAUGGCUUAUUUGACUUGUUGAUGAUUAUAUAUAAUAUAUUUAAUCAUGUUUUAAACUUUAUUUUAUUCAUCACUUAAAUUAUUAAUUUUUAAUGUGUCUAACCAAAGGAUUUUCCUUUGGUUAGAAAUUAGUUUAUAUUUCUAUAUUUUUUAAUUUAUUUUUGUUAUAUAUACUCUUUUGUUUUGUUUUUAUUAGAUUUUCUAUCAUUUUUACAUUACAUUAAAUAUAUAUAUAUAUAUAUAUAUAUAUAUAUAUAUAUAUAUGUGUGUGUGUGUGUGUGUGUGUGUGCGUGUGUGUGAUUUACUUGUAUACAGAUUUAUGUUUUUUUGGUUUGUUUUGUUUUUUUCAGGAUAAUUUGGAAGCGAGCUGGUUCGUGGCUUAUGGGUGUUCUUUUCUCAUUCAUUUAAGCUUUAUUGUCUAAGCGUCUGGAGUUGUGCUUGCAUGACUUUCGGUUAGAUGAUAAACUUUCUUGAAAGAAAGAUAUCCCGGAUGCGGUUUAUUGUAUUUCGAUACAAUUCAUCUACGUAUAUGUAGACC
This 1569-nucleotide long non-coding RNA is filed under the name Daucus carota (carrot). RNAcentral describes it as "long non-coding RNA (DCAR_LNC005024)". The record is from RNAcentral. Lineage: Eukaryota; Viridiplantae; Streptophyta; Magnoliopsida; Apiales; Apiaceae.